UUCAGCGGCGGACGGGUGAGUAAUGCCUAGGAAUCUGCCCGAUAGUGGGGGACAACGUUUCGAAAGGAACGCUAAUACCGCAUACGUCCUACGGGAGAAAGCAGGGGACCUUCGGGCCUUGCGCUAUCGGAUGAGCCUAGGUCGGAUUAGCUAGUUGGUGGGGUAAAGGCUCACCAAGGCGACGGUCCGUAACUGGUCUGAGAGGAUGAUCAGUCACACUGGAACUGAGACACGGUCCAGACUCCUACGGGAGGCAGCAGUGGGGAAUAUUGGACAAUGGGCGAAAGCCUGAUCCAGCCAUGCCGCGUGUGUGAAGAAGGUCUUCGGAUUGUAAAGCACUUUAAGCUGGGAGGAAGGGCAGUAAGUUAAUACCUUGCUGUUUUGACGUUACCAGCAGAAUAAGCACCGGCUAACUUCGUGCCAGCAGCCGCGGUAAUACGAAGGGUGCAAGCGUUAAUCGGAAUUACUGGGCGUAAAGCGCGCGUAGGUGGUUCAGCAAGUUGGAUGUGAAAGCCCCGGGCUCAACCUGGGAACUGCAUCCAAAACUACUGGGCUAGAGUAUGGUAGAGGGUGGUGGAAUUUCCUGUGUAGCGGUGAAAUGCGUAGAUAUAGGAAGGAACACCAGUGGCGAAGGCGACCACCUGGACUAAUACUGACACUGAGGUGCGAAAGCGUGGGGAGCAAACAGGAUUAGAUACCCUGGUAGUCCACGCCGUAAACGAUGUCAACUAGUUGUUGGGUUCCUUGAGGACUUAGUAACGAAGCUAACGCGAUAAGUUGACCGCCUGGGGAGUACGGCCGCAAGGUUAAAACUCAAAUGAAUUGACGGGGGCCCGCACAAGCGGUGGAGCAUGUGAUUUAAUUCGAAGCAACGCGAAG
This 879-nucleotide ribosomal RNA is filed under the name uncultured bacterium. Its description in RNAcentral is "bacterial SSU rRNA". It matches the Rfam family "Bacterial small subunit ribosomal RNA", at positions 91 to 966 of the family's 1533-position model. The record is from RNAcentral.